RNAcentral lists this long non-coding RNA (1760 nucleotides) under Gallus gallus (chicken). Its description in RNAcentral is "lncRNA (ENSGALG00010018468.1)". The record is from RNAcentral. Lineage: Eukaryota; Metazoa; Chordata; Aves; Galliformes; Phasianidae.
GUGUUCCUUACGUGUGGACUGAGGGGGCUGGGAGGUUCUCUCUGACACGUGGUGAUUAUCAGUGCUGCCUUCCUGCAAAUGGAGGACAUUGCUACUACCUUGUAAACCAGGUCCAGCAUCUAUGAGCAAUGUGUCUUAUCUGAAGAAAGAAGAUAACAAGUCGGGAUUGAAACUCUUCCAGGACUUUGGUAUCUUGCUUCAUGCUGGUGUAGAAGAGACUUGCAGCCAGGAUCAGUACCACACAAAAUGAUAGCCCCAGGAGCAUAGGCAAUCCAGGUGAAGACCUGUCAUGUACUAGAAACAGCCUGGUCCACAGGUGGCCUUUUCCUCAGUAUUGAAGGAGGACAGCUACUGUCAUCUGUCUAAAGAGUUGAUCAAAACACAAAACAAGGCUUUCAAGCUGGAAUAAUGAAUUUUGAGUGAAACUUGGAAGCUUUGUGCCUGUAUUUUUGCCACGUCUCUCAAAGAGCAUGACACAAAACACAUCUGAUGUGACAUUUACUGUUAGAUCACUGUAAUAUUUAGAAUAGGGCAAUAUGGACAUUCCUUCAUCAUCGGAGAUCUUCAGUACUCUAAAGCUGUCUUCUCAGGAAAAAUCUUAUUUAAAGUAACAGAAAAGUGUUCAGAAAGGAUUUCUCAGUGCUACUGAAGUUAUUGAAGGUGGCUGCUCAACAGACUGGGGCAGAGGAACAGAAAUAUGAUUUUAAAUAUAUGAUUUAUGUCAUUGGAAGCAUCUUGGAAGUGCUCUUCUGAGCUAAGCAGCUCUGUUUUGGAUGCAGUGUUGCCAUUUCAACAACUGUAACUAUUCAGCAAUCUUGUGCUUGGACGCUAUCCCAUUGGGUAUGAGAAGGUAAUUGUUUGCAUUUCGAUAUCACAAUUGUGUUGCUGUUCUAUUUUUUGCUUGGAAGCUACACUCAGUCUUUGAUAAUGAAAUCAGAUUGCUGUGGAUUCUGCCAAAUAACAAAAAGCAGAGCUGAAAUAAUAAUAAAAAAUCCCUCAUCUGUGCCAGAAUGUUCCUAAUGUCAAACUCCAAAGUGAAUCCUAAGCAUCUCAGUUCGGAUACAUCCAUUGUCAUCAGAAAGUGGAGCAACAGAUGGCAAAUUUUUUACUUUUUGAAGACAUAAGUGGGUGGCAGAGAUUCUGCACGUUUUAUUUUUAAGAUAAAGUUGUCUUCUCCACACCUCUUCUCUACGCACCUUCAUCUACACCUCUUCAUUUGCUUUCUUCUGCUCAGGAAAGAAUAUUAUUUCCUAGAUGUUUUCUUUGUUUCUGCUAUGUGUUGUCCCUGCUCCGCUUUAUCCUCAUUUGUCUUCUUCCUACUCAGUAAAAAACCUGUAGUUUUCCCGAUGCAUCACACGCUGGAUAUUCCCAUGACUGAACACCUGCUGAUCACAUUGGCCUUGAAAGAGAUGCCACUAUGGGAUGGAUCCAGAGAGGGAUUUAGGGGUGACAUUCCUGGGCAGAUCAAGCCUACCAGAAUGGCCUUCCGGUGAAUACUUAUGCUUCCUACACAAUUCAGAAGACAAUUAUAUGUUUAAAAAUAGCAUUCACAGCUGCUGGGCCACUGAACAGGAAGACAUAUAACACACACAGCAGGAACUGCCAUGGAGUGAGGAACAUGUUCAGCACUGAUACUUUCUCUUGAAGAAUUAAUAAGCUAGAUUUUGGCAUGGCAUAUCACUGGUGAGGACGUUUUCUCUGAUCUUAGGGUCAUACAAGCAUCCAUACCUUCUCUGUGUCAUCUUCAUGGGCAGAAUGGU